GUUCCCGUAGUGUAGUCAUUAUCACGUUCGCCUAACACGCAAAAGGUCCCCGGUUCAAAACUGGGCGGGAACA
This is a non-coding RNA of Maylandia zebra (zebra mbuna), 73 nucleotides long. The record is from the annotation of a RefSeq genome assembly. NCBI's taxonomy places the organism in Eukaryota, Metazoa, Chordata, Actinopteri, Cichliformes, Cichlidae.